RNAcentral lists this ribosomal RNA (477 nucleotides) under uncultured bacterium. RNAcentral describes it as "bacterial SSU rRNA". It matches the Rfam family "Bacterial small subunit ribosomal RNA", at positions 365 to 832 of the family's 1533-position model. The record is from RNAcentral.
UUCGCAAUGCCCGAAAGGGUGACGAAGCGACGCCGCGUGCGGGAAGAAGGCCUUCGGGUUGUAAACCGCUGUCGGGAGUUAAGAAAUGCAAGGAUAUUAAUAGUGUCUUUGCUUGACUAAGGCUCCGGAGGAAGCCACGGCUAACUCUGUGCCAGCAGCCGCGGUAAUACAGAGGCGGCAAGCGUUGUUCGGAAUUAUUGGGCGUAAAGAGCACGUAGGCGGCCUUGCAAGUCAGUUGUGAAAGCCUUCCGCUUAACGGGAGAACGGCAUCUGAUACUACAGGGCUUGAGUACGGGAGGGGAGAGUGGAACUUCUGGUGGAGCGGUGAAAUGCGUAGAUAUCAGAAGGAACGCCGGCGGCGAAAGCGACUCUCUGGCCCGAAACUGACGCUGAGUGUGCGAAAGCUAGGGGAGCAAACGGGAUUAGAUACCCCGGUAGUCCUAGCCGUAAACGAUGGGCACUAAGUAGAGGGGUUUU